This 253-nucleotide ribosomal RNA is filed under the name uncultured bacterium. Its description in RNAcentral is "partial 16S ribosomal RNA". It matches the Rfam family "Bacterial small subunit ribosomal RNA", at positions 524 to 776 of the family's 1533-position model. The record is from RNAcentral.
UACAGGGGUCUCGAGCGUUAAUCGGAAUCACUGGGCUUAAAGGGUGCGUAGGCGGAUCCGUAAGCGCUUUGUGAAAUCCCCCGGCUCAACCGGGGAAUUGCAGGGCGAACUGUGGAUCUUGAGGAAACUAGAGGCCGGUAGAACGAUUGGUGGAGCGGUGGAAUGCGUAGAUAUCAAUCGGAAUGCCAAAAGUGAAGACAGCCGGCUGGGGUUUUCCUGACGCUGAGGCACGAAAGCGUGGGGAGCAAACCGG